CUUGUGCUUUCUCUCGCACGCUCUCUCAAAUAAAUAAGAUCUUUAGAAUGAGAGAGUGCACCAUAAAUGCUAGCCUUUUAAGGAGCAUGUGGAUUUUCAACAAGGAGAACACCUAGGCCUAGCUCUCUACGAGGCAGUGAUCGUUCAGACGCUUCAGGCAUCCAGCACCGUCUUGACGACAUUGAGGCGGCUGCAGAGUCCUCCUGGCUGCGGCCGAAUGGAAGGCCAGAGGUUGGGAAGAAUAAACGAGGGACAGGCGAGCAGGAUGAGGCAUCUGGGGACAGCCGCCAGAGUGACAGCCCUGCAUCCAGCCGUGAGGUGUCUGCAGCCUGUGCCAGCGCCGGGAGGACGCGUGCCCGCAGGACGCCCUCCCCCACGGCCAGGCCCGGACACGCCUGUCAGGAGAAAACCGAUCCCUGACAGGAAGUAGAUCAAGAGUGGGAAACAGCUGAAUUCCCAGAGAGACCAAGUGGUUCCUGUGGGUUGCUUUACUCAAACCCGUUGUCCCUGAACUUUCCAGCUGCUGCCUUAUCUUGCCUUGCUAUCGGAGAAACUGGAGAAGAGAAAGACCCACGGGUCAUCCGGCCCGUUCCUCCCUGGACUCUGUGGCUCAUUCUUCCCACAGUCCGUCCGCUAGGAUUCUGCCCCGUCUCGUUUCCAGGUGGCAGCGUCCCCUCUUGUGCCUUGGGAAGUCACUCACUCCACAGCCCUGUGGCCGAACCCCAGGGGAUCCCACCCUGGCCAAGCAAAUGACCUCCUGUUUACCUUUUCUGUCCUCACCCCCUCCUCUGCGGCUCAGUAUCUGGAGAACUCGGGAGCGCUUAGGGCAGUGAGGGACAGAAGCGCUCGGAGCAUCCGCACUGGCCUCUUCAGAAGCAGUCCGGAGGCCUUCAGCCAGAGUUCACAGGGGUAGCUGGCUCCUGUGGCCAGAGCUGCUGCCAGGCCCCGAACUUCGCCACGCUGGGCAGCCCCCUAGUGUGGUGGCCCCGGCCAUGGUUGGGGACCCCAGCGAGACUCCCCUCAAAUUUACCGUUGCCGUGACUGAGAGAGCGGCUCCAAGUGGGCCUCUUCCUGGCUGGGGGGCCACAGGGUUUCCUCCUUUUGGGGCACUGUCUUUCUGGUGUCUCAAGCAUGUUUCGUUUUGGCCUUUGUAAGGCUAAACUUCCUAGGGCCUAUGACUUUACCCCCGGCCUCCUUCGCAAUGAGAGCUCCUCCCAAGUCCACGAGCCCACCUCAUCCUUGGGAUGAUCAACAAAUCAAUCUAGUCUCUUUGGUGAGUUUGGAGUUUCUUGGACCGCAGUGUGCUCCUGGCUUGGCAGCCUCUCCUUAGCCUGGCAGCCUUCAGCAAAGUUUGCUGUAGGACCUGACGUGCUUUAUUCGGUGCUCAGAAUGGAUCCUUGGGCCUGGAGUGAGCAGGCCAGGGCUGGUUAUAACUAAAGAAUGUGUGAGUGCCUGGCUGCAGUUGUUUCCAUGUUGGGAGAGCCCCAGCAGGGUAGUCAGUGCUCCCUCUCGGGCCCCGUGUAGAAACCUGAAUAUCCAUGCCUUAGAAAGGAGAGCCCGGCUCUGAAUAGAUGGUGCUGGGGAAAUCUGUGUUCAGGUACAGCACCUGCUUCGGGAAAGGUAAGAAAAUCUUCACUGCUUCUGACAGAUUGGAUCAGACAUCCAGGGCACCUAGCUGGUCUGCUGGUCUUCCAGCUCUGACUAGUUUUGUUAAGAGCUAGCAACUUGGAUGCCGUAUUGGCAUGCCUCAGCCUCCCAGAUCCACCGAAAGUCACCCCCUGGAAGGGGUCUUCCACACCAGCAUUUCUCAGCAAGCUCAGGUGAACAUAAUAAAAAGAUUCUGUGGGCAGAUAAACUUGGGAAACCCAGGGUUUAAAUCAAGUCAAACGGGAUUUUUCAUGGUGGAACUUCUCGAUUCCGCUGAAGGGGCAGAGACCGCAUUUCUCUCCAACUUCCUUGACCACAGAGCAUCUCUAGACAGCCUGCUUCCAGCCACACUUCUGAAACCUCACACAGGAACAGUGUCUCUCGAACUUGGAUGUGUGCAUCAUCAUCUCCCAAAGGGCUUGUGACAUGCAGGGACUUGGGUUUCUCUCCCCGGGCUUUCUGCAUUUCUGACAAGUUCCCUGGUGAUGCCAGUGGGCCAGGGACCACACUCUGAGAACUGCUGGUCUAGACUGAUCCCUUUUUUUCAUGGAGAAGAAAACAGCACCUGGUAGGCACUUUUCGUGCUAUUUCUGAAGGCUGGCGUGGUGAGGACAGGCGGCCCCUGGAAGGGGGUGGGGGUACAGCGCGGGUCCGUGGUCUCUCGCCGCUUGCUCCGCACUGUCUGCCGGAGGGCUGAGGGCUCCGCUCUCGAGACCAGUCAGGGUCUUCCUGUUCGGCAACAUGCUCGGAACUGUGAAUUCUGUAUGUACUUCCCUCCGCUGGGCCUUAGUUUCCUCAUCUGUAAGUGGAAGAGGAUAGAAACGACUUUUAUGGAUACUUACUACUUUCUCUAGCACUCCAGUUUAUUUUUGCUCUGGGGUAUUUCUGUUUCUGGGUGUUCUCCUCCCCUGUCCGAGCUCUCAUACACGCCGCGGGAGCCAGUGCCAUCCGUGCUGAGGUGGGGGGGACCUCAGUGUUACUUUGCAGGGCCACUGUGUUUUCGAAGAGCAUUCCCGAAGAAGUGUGGUGGUGGAAUCCCGUACAGCUGUCCCCCGGAUAGUGAACCGGACGGUAACGACUCGGCAGUACUGAGUUGGAGCCGAGAAGCGUCCCGGCGUCUUCCGGGUGCUUCUGGGCCCACAGGCCGCAGUGCGUGCGUGCGUCCGUGCGUGCGUGCGUGCGUGCGUGCGAUGGUGUGCUUAGCGGUCUGGCGGAGCGAGCAGCGGUGUUGCCGUGGAUCACGUAUGUCGGUAGAGGUUCUUCUAGGGAUGUGAGAAGCUCUUGGGAUCGUAGGCAGGGUUGUGAGUGUGCAGUUGGGAGGGUGUGUGCGCGCGAGCUCACGUGCAGUUUUCUACAGACAGGAUCCUGUCUUACAUGGAAGGCCAAUGGCACAGAUGUAGCGCUGCUGUAUUGUCCGUGGGCAGGGCGCCAGGGAAGCACAGGUCUCUCCAGUGUUGACGACGCUCUACAGCAGCCGCUGGGCAGUGGCCCGGAGUGGCCACGAGUGACCCGGAGCCAGAAGCCACAGCAGAACAAGCAGCCCAGGUUCCCAGCUCCCCAGCUGCCAUGGGGCUGUGCCCCCGUCCCCUCCUUUACCACCUGUCUCAGGAAGGGAGCUCGAACUCUGCCCUUUGCUUAGUGAGCAAGUGGAUUCAGAUGCACAAAGCCAUAAGCCAUGGCUGGCCCAAGGAGUUCCCUGACCUGGAUUCCUGGCAUGGGGAGAAGCUCAAAACGCAUCUGUGGUCCUUUUAAGUCUUCAUUUCCCAAGUAGGUGAGGCCCCAAGUUGGGAUCGAGUCCCCCAGUGUGGCCCAUCACCCUGCAUUGAGAGCCAGAGAGGAAGGGGAGGCCCAUGGGGUAGAAGGAAAUGCUGAGGACUUCUGCAUGUAGACCGAGACCAAAGGCUGGGCAUCCUGUGUGAGCUCUGUCUGGGGGCCCACUCCUAGACCAGUCAACGAGGGCUAGUGGAGCCUGUGCCCUGGAUCCUGACCCCGCUGGGUUCUGUGCCCGUGGGAUGUCACUCAGAAUACCCAGCUGUCAAUGGAUUUCCCCACAUGUAAAAGCAGGUUAGAAGAGGCAGGAGGUCUUCAUCAAUCCCCCAGCACCCCCGGGUUCUGCGGAGUUUCCUUGCAGGUUCCAGGCCCCCUGCACUUCCACCUCUGCCAGGAUGCUGCUUCAUCUGUUUAUGUUUUGGAGAUCUGAGUAAGAUGCCAUGUGAAAAGGGGGUUCUCAAGCAAAAUCUCUUCUAUUAAACCAUCGAAGUCCAUUUGCCCGGGUAAAGUUCCCUCCAGCAUUGCAUUCUACUCUAGAAACGUGUUGGGCCAGACCCAGGUCGAAGAUCCAUCUUUCUCCUCCUGCCACACUGGGGAGGAUGCCGCUCUCCACAGAGCCAUCCAGCCCUCCUGCGCAUCUCCCUCCCUUUGAUGUAAUUGCUCUCCCUCCCCCACUCCCAGCUGCCUGUGUUGCGGGGAGGCCAUGCCUCCUCCGGGGAAACGGGAGCAGCGGUAAAUGGGCAUUUCUUGUUUCUGGCCAAAGGCUGCGGGGCAAAACUGACGUUGCUGACAGAUGGACAUUUGUUAAAGCCAAAGUGUUCUUGCCCUUUUGUUUGUUUCUUCACACUUUCCUCAGCACAGGAGCGGGAACAUUCUGCCAAGUGGACAAAGUAUCACUCAGUCCAAUUGUUUUGUUGCUGGCCUUCCACUUUGGAAACUUCAUGGAAAAGAUGGGUCUUCCUCAGCAGAGUGAGCGGAGGGCUUGGGGUACCAGAUACCCCAUAGGGCUGAGAAGCCAGAACCCCGUUUCUAAAAGAACAGCAGCAGAAGCUCAAAGAUGUCCAGGCCGGCUUACUGGCAUGGAUGGGUCAUGAACGCGUCCCUCCCUUACCGGAGCAGAUACGUGUUUCCACACCCUGCUGAGCAAACCAGGAGACGGCCUGUGCCCUCGGCACAGCUCUGCUGAGCGGGUGCAACCAAAGGGACUCGCUGGGCCAGCCUCAGGCCAGGUCUGGCCAGGCGGCGGCUGGCUGUUCACCGUGGCAAGGAGGGUGGGAGCGGGGGAGCUGCUGGGCCCGGCCCGCUCCCUGGGGCGGGCGCUCUGCUGACAGCCUGGCCCGUGUUCACUAAGGGCACGUGGACGACCCCUCGGGCUGCUGUUCUGGUCCCCUGCGCCGCCGGCACGUAUGCGCUGGCUCCCUCCCUCCGAGGCUACUUCUCAGGGCUGGAAGUCCCGUCAGUUCUGCUGAAUGCUAUGUUCCAGGUGUGUGAUGGUGGCUGCAAUCUGUCUUGUGGGUAUUAAUGCAAUCUUCACUGGUGGUUGCUGUGCUCAAGCCGUUCUACCAGACUGGAGCAUGCUGGUGAGUCCCACAGUCAGAGGCCGGACAGGCCCUCUGGGGAGGCAGCGUGUCCCGGGCAGGGCGCGGUGAUGGAGACCAGUGUGGUCGGGACCGUCACCCCAGCAGUCUAGGUGUUACCACCUCCCCCAGGUGAUCCUGGUGGGUGCUCUAGGUUGAGACGCGAUGGUAUAGAGCACUGGGGUCAGGGGUUUGCUCUUCAUGAUCUCGUCCAGCCACAGCGUGCUUAGGGAAGGGCGUCUGGGAGGGCAGUGGCGGGGGGGGGGUCUGCAGACCCUCCGCGCACACGGUGAGGCCACCUGCACAUGCUCAGGCCGCAGCCAUGGAACGAGCCAUUCCGCCAUCGGGAAUUUACAGAUAAAUGACACUUUCCCCUUUUAAACCCUUAUGCCUUUUCUGGAAAUGCACCAUUUUGGUGAGCAUCUUUUAGAGAUAGUAUGUAUAUUCCUCCUGACUUCAUCCACUUGUACUGAAUACGGUGUAGCCCUCUCUCGGUGACACCAAGACGUGUGCAUGAGCCUCUUUGGAAAGAAGAGUGGUUGUCCUUGGGCAUAGGCAAAUGAGGCAGGGCUCUCACUGGACUCCUCCAGACUCUGGGCUUCCUGCCGGCCGGUGAUUUUGGUGAUUGUUCAUCUCUUCGAGCGGCCCCUCAGCUUCUAGUAGUAAGCGUAGUCUAAAACAGUAAUGUAGCGUUCCCGCAGGUGACUGGCCGCUGGCUGCCACACAGAGGGGCUACCAGGCUCUCUGGAAAACUUGGCCUAGAACAACAGGAGUACCAAGGGCAGGCCCACAGCGGUUAUGUCUCGGCCCAAAUAAGGUGGCAAAUUUCAUCCCUACAAGGGGCCAAUGAAGAAAAGAUGAGUCAGAAAGAGGGCAAGAUUCCUGCUAAGGACAGAGAACCAGGCAGAUCUAGCCAAGGAGGUCAUUACCGCAUUCUUGGGACUUAGGUAAUUUCUUGCUCUCAGAGUAGAGCCCAUCCAGAGGCAGGCACAUCGUGUGUGCCCCAACGGCCUGCACUUGGGGUCUUUCCUCCCACUGACCAAACUUAACAGGGAAGCGUUUUCCACAUCGUGUAGGGCAGCUAAUGUUUAAUCCCACCAAUUCCUUAGCCUUCUAAUUUAUUGGGUGGUUCUUUUGUUGUCAUGGUUCUUAAUAACAGUGCCCACUCUAUUCUUACCAAUAUUAUCACCCGGUAAAACUUUUUUUUUUUUUUUUUGAGAUUUUCUUUUAUUUGAGAGAGCG
Non-coding RNA from Leptonychotes weddellii (Weddell seal), 6236 nucleotides. The record is from RefSeq and is a predicted model, not a curated record. Lineage: Eukaryota; Metazoa; Chordata; Mammalia; Carnivora; Phocidae.